GGACCCGCACAAGCAGUGGAGCAUGUGGUUUAAUUCGAUGCAACGCGAAGAACCUUACCCAGACUUGACAUGUAGUGGACCGCCAUAGAGAUAUGGUUUCUCGUAAGAGCCGCUACACAGGUGCUGCAUGGCUGUCGUCAGCUCGUGCCGUGAGGUGUUGGGUUAAGUCCCGCAACGAGCGCAACCCUUAUCGUUAGUUGCCAACACGUAAUGGUGGGAACUCUAACGAGACUGCCUGGGUUAACCAGGAGGAAGGUGAGGAUGACGUCAAGUCAGCAUGGCCCUUAUGUCUGGGGCGACACACGUGCUACAAUGGUCGGUACAAAAGGCAGCCAAGCCGCAAGGUGGAGCAAAUCCCAAAAACCGAUCUCAGUUCGGAUUGUCGUCUGCAACUCGACGACAUGAAGUCGGAAUUGCUAGUAA
Molecule: ribosomal RNA, 423 nt
Filed under: uncultured bacterium
Lineage: Bacteria
Description: bacterial SSU rRNA
Rfam family: Bacterial small subunit ribosomal RNA
Source: RNAcentral